AACUGAAGAGUUUGAUCAUGGCUCAGAUUGAACGCUGGCGGCAGGCCUAACACAUGCAAGUCGAGCKGAUGAAGGGAGCUUGCUCCUGGAUUCAGCGGCGGACGGGUGAGUAAUGCCUAGGAAUCUGCCUGGUAGUGGGGGAUAACGUCCGGAAACGGGCGCUAAUACCGCAUACGUCCUGAGGGAGAAAGUGGGGGAUCUUCGGACCUCACGCUAUCAGAUGAGCCUAGGUCGGAUUAGCUAGUUGGUGGGGUA
RNAcentral lists this ribosomal RNA (255 nucleotides) under Pseudomonas aeruginosa. RNAcentral's name for it is "partial 16S ribosomal RNA". It matches the Rfam family "Bacterial small subunit ribosomal RNA", at positions 1 to 259 of the family's 1533-position model. Lineage: Bacteria; Pseudomonadati; Pseudomonadota; Gammaproteobacteria; Pseudomonadales; Pseudomonadaceae. The record is from RNAcentral.